Molecule: ribosomal RNA, 492 nt
Filed under: uncultured bacterium
Lineage: Bacteria
Description: partial 16S ribosomal RNA
Rfam family: Bacterial small subunit ribosomal RNA
Source: RNAcentral
AGUGAACGCUGGCGGUAGGCCUAACACAUGCAAGUCGAACGGCAGCACAGUAAGAGCUUGCUCUUACGGGUGGCGAGUGGCGGACGGGUGAGGAAUACAUCGGAAUCUACUUUUUCGUGGGGGAUAACGUAGGGAAACUUACGCUAAUACCGCAUACGACCUACGGGUGAAAGCAGGGGAUCUUCGGACCUUGCGCGAUUGAAUGAGCCGAUGUCGGAUUAGCUAGUUGGCGGGGUAAAGGCCCACCAAGGCGACGAUCCGUAGCUGGUCUGAGAGGAUGGUAGGCGGCACGGGAGCGGAAACAGGGACCAGAGGCCUACGGGAGGCAGCAGAGGGGAAUAUUGGGCAAUGGGGGCAAGCAUGGCACAGCCAGACCGAGUGGGUGAAGGAGGCCUUCGGGUUGUAAAGCCCGUUUGUUGGGAAAGAAAAGCAGCAGGUUAAUACCAAGCUGUUGUGACGGUACCCAAAGAAGAAGCACCGGCUAACUACGUG